This is a transfer RNA of Pleurotus ostreatus PC15, 88 nucleotides long. It matches the Rfam family "tRNA". Rfam says of the family: Transfer RNA (tRNA) molecules are approximately 80 nucleotides in length. Lineage: Eukaryota; Fungi; Basidiomycota; Agaricomycetes; Agaricales; Pleurotaceae. The record is from Rfam.
GGGCACUUAGCACAGUGGUAGCGCGCCUGCUUUGCACGACAAGCUCCGUGAUUGCAUGAGGCCGUGGGUUCAAUCCCCACAGUGUCCA